This 170-nucleotide ribosomal RNA is filed under the name Roccella verruculosa. RNAcentral describes it as "5.8S ribosomal RNA". It matches the Rfam family "5.8S ribosomal RNA". Rfam says of the family: 5.8S ribosomal RNA (5.8S rRNA) is a component of the large subunit of the eukaryotic ribosome. It is transcribed by RNA polymerase I as part of the 45S precursor that also contains 18S and 28S rRNA. Lineage: Eukaryota; Fungi; Ascomycota; Arthoniomycetes; Arthoniales; Roccellaceae. The record is from RNAcentral.
AAGAAAAAAAAAAAAACUUUCAACAACGGAUCUCUUGGUUCUGGCAUCGAUGAAGAACGCAGCGAAAUGCGAUAAGUAAUGUGAAUUGCAGAAUUCAGCGAAUCAUCGAAUCUUUGAACGCACCUUGCGCCCUCCGGGAUCCCGGUGGGCAUGCCUGUUCGAGCGUCAUC